GAGGUCCCGCCUGCCCAGUGACACACAAGUUUAACGGCCGCGGUAUUUUAACCGUGCGAAGGUAGCGUAAUCACUUGUCUUUUAAAUGAAGACCGGUAUGAAUGGCAUCACGAGGGCUUAACUGUCUCCCCCCUCCAGUCAAUGAAAUUGACCUUCCCGUGCAGAGGCGGGAAUAUUAAUAUAAGACGAGAAGACCCUGUGGAGCUUUAGACUUAAAAUAAGUUAUGUUUAAUAUACUUAAUUAUAAGAAAAAACUUAGUAACUAAAUAUUGAAAUGUCUUUUGUUGGGGCGACCGAGGGGAAAAACACAACCCCCUUGUAGACCGGGGAUAUAAUCCCUAGCACUCAGAGUUCCCACUCCAAGUAACAGAAAUUCUGACUUCCUGAUCCGGAGUAUUCCGAUCAACGAACCGAGUUACCCCAGGGAUAACAGCGCAAUCCCCUUUAAGAGCCCUUAUCGACAAGGGGGUUUACGACCUCGAUGUUGGAUCAGGACAUCCUAAUGGUGCAGCCGCUAUUAAGGGUUCGUUUGUUCAACGAUUAAAGUCCUACGUGA
Molecule: ribosomal RNA, 556 nt
Filed under: Laemonema longipes (longfin codling)
Lineage: Eukaryota; Metazoa; Chordata; Actinopteri; Gadiformes; Moridae
Description: partial 16S ribosomal RNA
Rfam family: Bacterial large subunit ribosomal RNA
Source: RNAcentral